RNAcentral lists this ribosomal RNA (352 nucleotides) under uncultured Glomus. Its description in RNAcentral is "SSU rRNA". It matches the Rfam family "Eukaryotic small subunit ribosomal RNA", at positions 569 to 928 of the family's 1831-position model. The record is from RNAcentral. Lineage: Eukaryota; Fungi; Glomeromycota; Glomeromycetes; Glomerales; Glomeraceae.
AGCAGCCGCGGUAAUUCCAGCUCCAAUAGCGUAUAUUAAAGUUGUUGCAGUUAAAAAGCUCGUAGUUGAAUUUCGGGAUCAAUAUAUCGGUCGUGCCUUGGUACGUACUGGUAUCAUUGGUUUCUCCUUUCUGACGAACCAUGAUGUCAUUAAUUUGGUGUUAUGGGAAGUUAGGACUGUUACUUUGAAAAAUUAGAGUGUUUAAAGCAGGCUUUAGCUUGAAUACAUUAGCAUGGAAUAAUGAAAUAGGACGUUCGAACCUAUUUUGUUGGUUUCUAGGAUCAACGUAAUGAUUAAUAGGGAUAGUUGGGGCAUUAGUAUUCAAUUGUCAGAGGUGAAAUUCUUGGAUUUA